CAAUGGGGGAAACCCUGACGCAGCAACGCCGCGUGUGGGAAGAAGGCCUUCGGGUCGUAAACCACUUUGCACGGGGACGAAAAAGGGAUAUCGAACAAAUAUCCCCGAUGACGGUACCGUGAGAAUAAGCCACGGCUAACUCUGUGCCAGCAGCCGCGGUAAGACAGAGGUGGCAAGCGUUGUUCGGAAUUACUGGGCGUAAAGAGUCUGUAGGUGGUUUGUCAAGUCUUUGGUGAAAGGCCGUAGCUUAACUAUGGGAAUGCCAAAGAGACUGGCAGGCUGGAGGCUGGGAGAGGGAAGCGGAAUUUCUGGUGUAGCGGUGAAAUGCGUAGAUAUCAGAAGGAAGGCCGGUGGCGAAGGCGGCUUCCUGGAACAGUCCUGACACUGAGAGACGAAAGCGUGGGGAGCAAACAGGAUUAGAUACCCUGGUAGUCCACGCCCUAAACGAUGGGUACUAAGUGUGGAGGGGUUAAACCCUCCGUGCCGCAGCAAACGCAGUAAGUACCCCGCCUGGGGAGUACGGCCGCAAGGUUGAAACUC
Molecule: ribosomal RNA, 540 nt
Filed under: uncultured bacterium
Lineage: Bacteria
Description: bacterial SSU rRNA
Rfam family: Bacterial small subunit ribosomal RNA
Source: RNAcentral